This 460-nucleotide ribosomal RNA is filed under the name uncultured bacterium. RNAcentral describes it as "partial 16S ribosomal RNA". It matches the Rfam family "Bacterial small subunit ribosomal RNA", at positions 338 to 795 of the family's 1533-position model. The record is from RNAcentral.
CCUACGGGUGGCAGCAGUGAGGAAUAUUGGUCAAUGGGCUUACGCCUGAACCAGCCAAGUCGCGUGAGGGAAGACUGCCCUAUGGGUUGUAAACCCCUUUUGUCAGGGAGCAACGCCGGCUACGUGUAGCCGGACUGAGAGCACCUGAAGAAAAAGCAUCGGCUAACUUCGUGCCAGCAGCCGCGGUAAUACGGGGGAUGCGAGCGUUAUCCGGAUUUAUGGGGUUUAAAGGGUGCGUAGGCGGAAUGCCAAGUCAGCGGUAAAAUCGCGGGGCUCAACCUCGCUCCGCCGUUGAAACUGGGGAUCUUGAGUGGGCGAGAGGUAUGCGGAAUGCGUAGUGUAGCGGUGAAAUGCAUAGAUAUCACGCAGAACUCCGGUUGCGAAGGCAGCAUACCGGCGCCCAACUGACGCUGAGGCACGAAAGCGUGGGUAUCGAACAGGAUUAGAUACCCUAGUAGUC